Molecule: long non-coding RNA, 2134 nt
Organism: Rhopalosiphum padi (bird cherry-oat aphid)
Lineage: Eukaryota; Metazoa; Arthropoda; Insecta; Hemiptera; Aphididae
Exons: 7
Source: RefSeq, a predicted model, not a curated record
UGAACACCACAAACACUAUAAACUUUUUAUUAUUUCUAACAAAUCUAACAUGAUCGUGUUCAUAUUUAAUAACGGUAAUAAGCUAGUGUAAAUUAAUAUGUUUUUGAAUUUAUAUUACCUUAUUUAUUGUAGGUAGUAAGUAGUGAAAUCGUUUUGUUUAAAUAAAAAAAAUUGAAACGAGAGAGAUCCAAACAACUGUUAACUAUGAUAUUAAUUAUGCCAAAGAGUCAAAGCAGUCAACAUCAACUAAUAUAACAUUACCAUUAUGGCACAAUUUGAUGUAUUCUUUUAAUGUUAUUUAGAAUUCUGAUUUUAAUGACCAAAAUUAAUCAAUGUAACAAUUCAAACAUAGAAGUUGAAAAUUAAGCUGAUGUCAAUGAUAUUAGUCAUGUAUCUUCAAAAAUGAAUGUUCAAGCGGAUAAAAUGAUUGCAUUACUAGAAGGAAAUAAAGAUGUUGGUGAUAAUAAUAGAAGAACUAUGGUGUACAUGCUUGAUUAUCGAGUUUAUCAAGUUAUCGUUUGAUUAUAAAUUCUUUGGCUUAAGCUAUAGAUUCAAGCUACCCAAAGCAAUACAAAAGUCAGAUAUAUCUAAUCUAGUACUGAAGAUGAAUAUUAUAGUAGAUUAACAAAAAAACGCAAUAGUUUAUCUCUUAAUAUGUACAAUUUAAAAAAAAGACUAAAAGCAACAAUUUAAAAUUAAAUAUUUCAAAAAAUAAUAGUUUCCCUCCUUGUUAUGUAUCUAAAGAUUUUAAUUGCAUAAUGAUUUUUGAAAAACAUGUGAUCGGUGUCUCAGAUUCAAACCACGAUGAUGACCCCUCUAAUAUUGAUUCUACACAGAGAGUUGAAAAUAAACCUGAUGACUUUAAACAUUUAGAUCUUGUCAUUAUAUUGGAAAAACAAAAAAACUGGAAUUAUUACGCUAUAUCCUUGUAUAAUUUCAACCCGGAUGACGUUUGACAGCAUCAAUAAGAAACUCAUCUGAAUAUCAAGUGAUGUCGCAAGGAAGUGUUUGUUUUAUACUAAAAUACUAUAUUUUUUUGAACAGUAUAGUACAGUAUAUUAUAAAUAUUUACUUAAAUUGUAUGUAAUUUUUAUGGUUUUUUUUCAGAUAAUGUAUUGUACUACGGUUUUAAGUGUUCUAUUAUUUUAAUUUUAAUGAUACAUUGAUAAAUUACAAAAUUUUUCAAUUUUUUUUCUUAUCACAUAGCUAUUCCAUCUUUUUGUAUGUUUAGAUUUAUAUUUUUAUAGUUAUUGUGUUGUUUAACGUUCUUAAAAGAGAGUGACGAAUUUAAACAAUGGCCACCGAACAGAAAGUUAAACGGCAGUAGAGUAUAAUCUUCUUGUUUGAACUUUAUAACUGAAAAAAUAAUAAAUAUAAAAUUUAAAAUUGUUUUAAAUUCAAAAAUAAAAGAAUACCAACACAGAGUUUAAAAAUAACAAAAUUGUGUCUUUAAUAAGUUUAAAUUAUAUUUGAUAUUUACACAAGUUUUUUUUUAUAGGAACCGAAUAUUAGUGUGGAUCAUUGACUACCCGGUGACGAAGAAUUUGUCACAAAGCGGAUGGAAAAUGUGUCGGCUGUAUUUCAACUCGAAAGACGUUUGGCAGCAGCAAAAAGAAGUUCAAUUGAUAAUCAACUGUUGAAAGGAUGUAUUUUUUUUUUAUAAUAAUUUUAGUAGUACUGUACAUAAUAUUUAUUUUUUUGAAUUGUAUUUAUAGACUUUUUUAUUGUUAUUUCAUGUAUCGUACUGAACUAAUCUUGUAAGUGUUCUUUUUUUUUAUUUUGUUGAUACAUUGAUUAGUUAGGUACCACAUUUUUCAAUUUUUGUUCUUAUCAAACAUCUAGUUCUUCUGUUUCUAUGUUUAAAUUUAUAUUUAUUUUAAUUAUGCUGCUGUUUAACAUUAUUAUAUAAGGUUGAGGAAUUUAAAUGGUGGCAACCAAUUUGAACGUUAAACUGCAUGAUAAUAUAAUCUUGUUUGAAAUUUACAACUCAAAUAAUAAUGAAUACCUAUAUGAUUUAUAUUUGUUUAAAAAUUAAAAAAUAAAUGAACACCAAAUCAGAUUAUUAAAGAAUAAAAUUGUAUUAAUAUUAUUUGUUGAACUUUUUUGCAAUAUUCUUAUUGAUUUUAUAAGUAUA